Molecule: long non-coding RNA, 675 nt
Filed under: Manihot esculenta (cassava)
Lineage: Eukaryota; Viridiplantae; Streptophyta; Magnoliopsida; Malpighiales; Euphorbiaceae
Description: long non-coding RNA (MESC_LNC004516)
Source: RNAcentral
CCCUACACAACCAAUCAUGCAUAACCCUAUUCUACAACAUGCAUACUCAAGCAUACAAGCUCCUAGGGGCCUCAAACUAACUUAAACCCCAACUACAACACACAAGCAAGCCACAUUGCUCAAGAACAUGCACAUCAAACCCAUAAACAUAACAUAAACUUCCACAAGCCUACUCAUGCAUUUCUACCCUAUAGCUCUACUCAAAACUUACUUAAAACAUGCAAGAGAGGUUGGAUCUAAGCUUACCUCUUGAAGAUCGAGAGGAAGAACGAUCCUAGCUUGGAGGUAGGGAGAAAUCCACUCUUUGAUUUCCAAGCUUCCAAACUUGCUCAAACUUCAAAACUCUUCAAAAACAAGAUGUAACUUGUUAAGAUUUGAAAGAUUUGAGGGAAAACACUCAAAAUGACCAUAGGAGGGCUAAAGCUUACCGUCGGCCGAAAUGGGAGAGAAAACCUCGCCUGUUUCGGUCACGGGGUCCUUUAUAGGGCUGGUUCUGUCACCUUUCGGCGGCCUAACGUGCCCCCACAUCUCAUGCAUGUUCGGCGGCCGAACAUGAGGUUCGGCGGCCGAACCUUGACUCACUCAAACAAGGCUUUCGGAGGCCUAAAACGCUCCCAAAACCUUACCAUGUUCGGCGGCCGAACUUAACUUUCGGCGGCCGAACCUGGCAAAGCC